GCAGGGUUAGCUCAUCCGGUAGAGCGACUGCUUCCCAAGCAGUAGGCGGCGGGUUCGAGUCCCGUAUCCUGCUCCA
RNAcentral lists this transfer RNA (76 nucleotides) under Faecalibacterium prausnitzii. Its description in RNAcentral is "tRNA-Gly". It matches the Rfam family "tRNA". Rfam says of the family: Transfer RNA (tRNA) molecules are approximately 80 nucleotides in length. Their secondary structure includes four short double-helical elements and three loops (D, anti-codon, and T loops). RNAcentral also lists the same sequence under 50 other names. Lineage: Bacteria; Bacillati; Bacillota; Clostridia; Eubacteriales; Oscillospiraceae. The record is from RNAcentral.